AUUCAUGUACCUCCUGAAAGAGGAUUUGGU
Molecule: non-coding RNA, 30 nt
Filed under: Mus musculus (house mouse)
Lineage: Eukaryota; Metazoa; Chordata; Mammalia; Rodentia; Muridae
Source: RNAcentral